UCUCCCCUAACUUUUUACUCCUCCCAGUCCCAAUAUGUUCUCUCUAGCCCUGCAGGAACCGAGGGAUCUGUACUUUGAUGAUGCCUGCUGAUGUUGAGCAGAUAGAAAUAAUUCAAAAAUGGAGAGUUCCUGGUGAGGAGGGGUUUUCGUUUCAUUAGGACCAGUUCAUCCAUCAUCCUACAUGGGUUUAUUCUGCCACUGGCUCGUGGAAGAUAGAAGAUACAUACGGGUAAUCCCCAUCUUCUCUGACGUAGCAGGCAUUAUCCACAACCCAAAGCACUCUACAAAGCUGAGCAUCAUUAUAUCCACCUGAGAGAGGGGGAAACUGCAUUGCAGAGAGGAGUCACUUGGCCAAGGUCACACAGCAGCCUCCUAGAAAUUGGUGCAGCACACAGGCGACCUAAUGCUAACACUUACAUGGUUACAUGCACCACAGGAUACUGCUUGAGUCUCCAGUCAAUGGGAGCUGCAGGGGCUCAGUACCUCUGAAAUCAGGCCAAAAGCAACUUCAAAACGGUUUUGUAACCGGAACUGAUAUCUUUUAUCCCUUUAAAAAUCCAAAAGGCCACUUUUGCGGGCCUGUAGCCUUGGCUCCAACUUCACUUAUUUGCCUCUCUUUCAUCCCAGCUGCAGCUCUUCAGGAUUUAUCUCUCUGGUUAACUUCCCCUUUCAUAAUAUUAGCACAGUUGAAACACUUGCCUUCCUGUUGCAGGCAGUGAUUAUAUAGCAA
This is a long non-coding RNA of Mauremys reevesii (Reeves's turtle), 730 nucleotides long. RefSeq lists it as uncharacterized. The transcript is spliced from 3 exons. Lineage: Eukaryota; Metazoa; Chordata; Testudines; Geoemydidae. The record is from RefSeq and is a predicted model, not a curated record.